Molecule: ribosomal RNA, 569 nt
Filed under: Trifolium amoenum
Lineage: Eukaryota; Viridiplantae; Streptophyta; Magnoliopsida; Fabales; Fabaceae
Description: eukaryotic LSU rRNA
Rfam family: 5.8S ribosomal RNA (bases 115-270)
Source: RNAcentral
AACAUAAACCCCGACGCUGAAUGCGUCAAGGAAUUUAAAAUUUGCUCUAAGCGCAACGACAUAACAUCGGAGACGGUUUUUGUGCCGGUUGUGUUUUGACACGUAAUAUAGAAUGACUCUCGGCAACGGAUAUCUAGGCUCUUGCAUCGAUGAAGAACGUAGCGAAAUGCGAUACUUGGUGUGAAUUGCAGAAUCCCGUGAACCAUCGAGUCUUUGAACGCAAGUUGCGCCCGAUGCCACUAGGUUGAGGGCACGUCUGCUUGGGCGUCACAUAUCGAAGCCUCUUGCCAAUUUCCUAUUUAUAGGUAUUGUGUAGGUUGAAUGUUGGCCUCCCAUGAGCUCCAUCGUCUCAUGGUUGGUUUAAAAUCGAGACCUUGGUAGGGUGUGCCAUGAUAGAUGGUGGUUGUUGUGUUAUGCACGAGACCAAGUCAUGUGCUACUCUAUUGAAUUUAUCCUCUUUUACCCACAUGUGUUUCCAAAUGCUUGUGAUGAGACCUCAAGUCAGGCGGGGCUACCCGCUGAAUUUAAGCAUAUCAAUAAGCGGAGGAAAAGAAACUAACAAGGAUUCC